Molecule: ribosomal RNA, 497 nt
Filed under: uncultured bacterium
Lineage: Bacteria
Description: partial 16S ribosomal RNA
Rfam family: Bacterial small subunit ribosomal RNA
Source: RNAcentral
GAUGAACGCUGGCGGCGUGCCUAAUACAUGCAAGUCGAGCGAACGGACGAGAAGCUUGCUUCUCUGAUGUUAGCGGCGGACGGGUGAGUAACACGUGGAUAACCUACCUAUAAGACUGGGAUAACUUCGGGAAACCGUAGCUAAUACCGGAUAAUAUUUUGAACCGCAUGGUUCAAAAGUGAAAGACGGCCUUGCUGUCACUUAUAGAUGGAUCCGCGCUGCAUUAGCUAGUUGGUAGGGUAACGGCCUACCAAGGCAACGAUGCAUAGACGACCUGAGAGGGGGGUAGGCGACACUGGAGGUGGGACGGGGACCAGGCGCCUGCGGGAGGCAUCAGUAGGGAAUGGUCGGCAGUGGGCGGAAGCCUGACGGAACAGCGGGGCGUGAGAGGUGGAGGUCUUGGGAGCGGGAUACUGUGUUAUGAGGGGUGAACAGAUGUGGAAGGAGCUGUGCACAUCGUGACGGUAACGGGUCAGGAAGCCACGGCUAACUACGUG